Molecule: ribosomal RNA, 536 nt
Filed under: Trigonopterus sp. 130 AR-2022a
Lineage: Eukaryota; Metazoa; Arthropoda; Insecta; Coleoptera; Curculionidae
Description: partial large subunit ribosomal RNA
Source: RNAcentral
GGCUUGUUGAUUAUAAUUUCAAGUCUGGCCUGCCCACUGAUAAGUUAAAUGGCCGCGGUAUAUUGACCGUGCAAAGGUAGCAUAAUCACUAGUUUUUUAAUUAAAAGCUUGAAUGAAAGGUUUGAUGAGAAAGGUGCUGUCUCUAUGAAAAUUUAUUAGAAUUUUAUUUUUAAGUGAAAAAGCUUAAAUUUGUAUGGAAGACGAGAAGACCCUAUAGAGUUUUAUAUUUAGCUAGGAAAUUAGUUUAUAGGGAUAAAAGACUAGAAUUUUAGUGGGGUAUUUUAUUGGGGUGAUAGAAAAAUUAAAUAAACUUUUUUUACAUGUAAACACUUAUUUGUGGGUUAAUGAUCCUAAAGUUUAGAUUAUAAGAUUAAAUUACCUUAGGGAUAACAGCGUAAUUUUUUUUAGAGUUCUUAUCGAAUAAAAAGAUUGCGACCUCGAUGUUGGAUUAAAAUUAAUUAUUGGUGUAGAAGCUAGUAUAUUAGGUCUGUUCGACCUUUAAAAUUUUACAUGAUCUGAGUUUAKACCGGCGUGAG